Molecule: ribosomal RNA, 486 nt
Filed under: uncultured bacterium
Lineage: Bacteria
Description: partial 16S ribosomal RNA
Rfam family: Bacterial small subunit ribosomal RNA
Source: RNAcentral
GACGAACGCUGGCGGCGUGCUUAACACAUGCAAGUCGAACGCUGAAGACCUGGCUUUUGUUGGGUUGGAUGAGUGGCGAACGGGUGAGUAACACGUGAGUAACCUGCCCUCUUCUUUGGGAUAACGCCCGGAAACGGGUGCUGAUACUGAAUAUUCACUGAUCUUCGCAUGGGGGUUGGUGGAAAGGUUUGUUCUGGUGGGGGAUGGGCUCGCGGCCUAUCAGCUUGUUGGUGGGGUGAUGGCCUACCAAGGCUUUGACGGGUAGCCGGCCUGAGAGGGGGACCGGUCACAUUGGGACUGAGAGACGGCCCAGACUCCUACGGGAGGCAGCAGUGGGGAAUAUUGCACAAUGGGCGAAAGCCUGAUGCAGCGACGCCGCGUGAGGGAUGGAGGCCUUCGGGUUGUAAACCUCUUUCGCUCAUGGUCAAGCCGCAACUGUGGGUUGUGGUGAGGGUAGUGGGUAAAGAAGCGCCGGCUAACUACGUG